GAUGAACGCUGGCGGCGUGCCUAAUACAUGCAAGUCGAGCGAACGGACGAGAAGCUUGCUUCUCUGAUGUUAGCGGCGGACGGGUGAGUAACACGUGGAUAACCUACCUAUAAGACUGGGAUAACUUCGGGAAACCGGAGCUAAUACCGGAUAAUAUUUUGAACCGCAUAGUUCAAAAGUGAAAGACGGUCUUGCUGUCACUUAUAGAUGGAUCCGCGCUGCAUUAGCUAGUUGGUAAGGUAACGGCUUACCAAGGCAACGAUGCAUAGCCGACCUGGACGGGUGAUCGGCGACACUGGAGCUGAGACACGGUCCAGACUCCUACGGGAGGCAGCAGUAGGGAAUCUUCCGCAAUGGGCGAAAGCCUGACGGAGCAACGCCGCGUGAGUGAUGAAGGUCUUCGGAUCGUAAAACUCUGUUAUUAGGGAAGAACAUAUGUGUAAGUGGAUGUGCACAUCUUGACGGUACCUAAUCAGAAAGCCACGGCUAACUACGUG
RNAcentral lists this ribosomal RNA (497 nucleotides) under uncultured bacterium. RNAcentral's name for it is "partial 16S ribosomal RNA". It matches the Rfam family "Bacterial small subunit ribosomal RNA", at positions 28 to 507 of the family's 1533-position model. The record is from RNAcentral.